Molecule: ribosomal RNA, 469 nt
Filed under: uncultured bacterium
Lineage: Bacteria
Description: partial 16S ribosomal RNA
Rfam family: Bacterial small subunit ribosomal RNA
Source: RNAcentral
GACGAACGCUGGCGGCGUGCUUAACACAUGCAAGUCGAACGGAAAGGCCCUGCUUGCAGGGUGCUCGAGUGGCGAACGGGUGAGUAACACGUGGGUGAUCUGCCCCUUACUUUGGGAUAAGCCUGGGAAACUGGGUCUAAUACUGGAUAGGACCAUGCUGUAGGUGGUGUGGUGGAAAGAUUAGUUUCGGUAAGGGAUGAGCUCGCGGCCUAUCAGCUUGUUGGUGGGGUAAUGGCCGACCAAGGCGUCGACGGGUAGCCGGCCUGAGAGGGUGGACGGCCACAUUGGGACUGAGAUACGGCCCAGACUCCUACGGGAGGCAGCAGUGGGGAAUAUUGCACAAUGGGCGCAAGCCUGAUGCAGCGACGCCGCGUGGGGUAUGACGGCCUUCGGGUUGUAAACUCCUUUCAGCCAUGACGAAGCCCUUGUGGUGACGGUAGUGGUAGAAGAAGCACCGGCUAACUACGUG